This 251-nucleotide ribosomal RNA is filed under the name uncultured bacterium. Its description in RNAcentral is "partial 16S ribosomal RNA". It matches the Rfam family "Bacterial small subunit ribosomal RNA", at positions 57 to 305 of the family's 1533-position model. The record is from RNAcentral.
GCAAGUCGAGGGGUAACAGGGGGGCUUGCUCCCGCUGACGACCGGCGCACGGGUGCGUAACGCGUAUAGAACCUACCUACUACUGGGGGAUAGCCUUUAGAAAUGAAGAUUAAUAUCCCAUGGCAUUUCGGAGUGGCAUCACUUCGUCAUUAAAGAUUCAUCGGUGGUAGAUGGCUAUGCGUCCUAUUAGCUUGAUGGUGGGGUAACGGCCCACCAUGGCAUUGAUAGGUAGGGGCCCUGAGAGGGGGAUC